GAGAAUUGAGAUUGGAGGAUAUUACAGUAGUUAAAGAAUUUCCAGAUGUAUUUCCAAAUGAACUUCCUGGGAUGCCACCUAACAGAGAAGUUGAGUUUUCUAUUGACUUAGUCCCUGGAACAUCUCCAAUAUGUAUGGCACCGUACAGAAUGGCUCCAGCAGAAUUGAAGGAACUGAAGGUUCAAUUGCAAGAGUUGGUGGAGAAAGGGUUUAUUAGACCUAGUGUGUCCCCAUAGGGAGCUCCAGUCUUGUUUGUUAAGAAAAAUGAUGGGACUUUUAGACUCUGCAUCGACUACAGGCAGUUGAAUAAAGUUACGGUACGCAAUAAGUAUCCACUUCCGCGUAUUGAUGACUUGUUUGAUCAACUCCAAGGGGCAAAAGCAUUUUCUAAGAUCGAUUUGCGCUCGGGUUACCAUUAGCUUAGAAUUAAAGAUGUCGACGUUCCUAAAACAGCAUUUAGAACCCGUUAUGGGCACUAUGAGUUCUUAGUUAUGCCAUUUGGGUUGACAAAUGCCCCAGCUGCUUUUAUGGACCUGAUGAAUAGGGUAUUUCGCCCGUACUUGGAUCGGUUUGUGAUUGUAUUCAUUGAUGAUAUCUUAGUGUAUUCCCGAAGCGAGGAGGUGCAUGCAGAGCAUUUGCGGACUAUUUUACAGACUUUGAGACAGAAGCAAUUGUAUGCCAAGUUCAGCAAAUGCGAGUUCUGGUUGGACAUAGUAGUAUUUUUGGGCCAUGUGAUAUCAGCUAAAGGCAUUUAUGUUGAUCCUCAAAAGAUUGAAGCAGUUGUGAAAUGGGAACGGCCUACAAAUGUCACAGAGGUUCGGAGUUUUCUUGGAUUGGCUGGUUAUUAUCGUAGAUUUGUGGAAGGAUUCUCGAAGAUUUCUACUCCUCUGACACGGUUAACCAGAAAGAAUGCUAAGUUCCAGUGGGAUGAUGACUGUGAGAAGAGUUUUCAAGAACUUAAGACACGUUUGACCUCAGCUACUUCCAAAAUAGAUUAACACCAACUUUAUCUUUCAACAAGCCAACAACUCCAUGAACAAACAAACCAACACUUCAAUAUCCACAAAAUAAACCAAUACUUCAGUAGCCAACAAUCAGCAAUCAGCAAUCAUCAAUCAUCCAAUCAUUAAGAACAUCACAAACAUGUCAUCAAAAUCCAUAAAAAAUAUAAAUGCAAACAACCAAAAUAUGAAAUGUAUGUGCGAAAACAGAACUCAGAAGCUAUGGAGGUGGAGAAGAUGUGCUCCCCGGAUCAUAGCCGAAAUAGCUGAGAAGAGUGCGCUGUCCAGCAAUAAGCUCAAGCUGCUGGAAGAUCUGAAAGUCAGAACGUUGCUGCUGGUGGUCACGGGAAACAGUGUCCAACCGAUCAAGAAUCAGCUGCUGGCGCUCCGAAAUCCGGUGAACAUCAGCAAUCAACUGCUGCACAAUGUCUGAAGCAGGGGGCUGAACUGGAGCUGGAGGCGGCAUAGAGGCAGAUGGCUGCUCAGGAACAACAGAUGGCUCAGGAGCAGGAGGCGGCUCGGAAGAGGAGGGAAUAUCAGCAUCCAUCGCACGCUCCUCAGAGUCUGAGUCAGCUGGAGGCCGAGGGACAAAAUGGCGACACGGAGGAUGAGGAUGAGCACCUAAUCUAAAGUCAGGAAACUGAUCGGGAGAAUAGAUAUCAUUGAGCAUCCGAUCGUCCUCUGGAGCAAUCAAGGUAUCCCGGUUUUUGGAGUUGCUUGUCUUUAUCCACUCUCCAUUCUUCCUAGAGAAACCGAUACUAGUCAUGGCCUCGGGACCAAUCCGUCUAGUCUCCAUGUGUCCAGUAUCAAGAAGAGGCACCUUAAAGUGUCGCAGUAUCUUAGUAAUGAUACUGCCAAAAGGAAGCAAGCGGUGAUUGACCGCGGGAGUACUCAACAUAUGUCGCACAAUAAUAUACCCGAGGUUAAUGGGACGGUCUGUAAGAAGGCUAUCUAAAAGGGCAACGUCCAACCUCGUAACCUCAUCCGAGUGACCCUUACUAGAUAUAGAAGCUCGAGAAUUGAGAUUGGAGGAUAUUACAGUAGUUAAAGAAUUUCCAGAUGUAUUUCCAAAUGAACUUCCUGGGAUGCCACCUAACAGAGAAGUUGAGUUUUCUAUUGACUUAGUCCCUGGAACAUCUCCAAUAUGUAUGGCACCGUACAGAAUGGCUCCAGCAGAAUUGAAGGAACUGAAGGUUCAAUUGCAAGAGUUGGUGGAGAAAGGGU
This 2225-nucleotide long non-coding RNA is filed under the name Citrus sinensis (sweet orange). RNAcentral's name for it is "long non-coding RNA (CSIN_LNC005318)". Lineage: Eukaryota; Viridiplantae; Streptophyta; Magnoliopsida; Sapindales; Rutaceae. The record is from RNAcentral.